GACGUAGGGGGCGAGCGUUGUCCGGAUUUAUUGGGCGUAAAGCGUGCGUCGGCGGCUGCGCAAGUCGGGUGUGAAACCCCGGGGCUCAACCCCGGAACUGCAUCCGAUACUGCGUGGCUAGAGGUAGGUAGGGGAGAGCGGAAUUCCUGGUGUAGCGGUGAAAUGCGCAGAUAUCAGGAGGAACACCGGUGGCGAAGGCGGAUCUCUGGGCCUUACCUGACGCUCAGGCACGAAAGCUAGGGGAGCGAACAGG
RNAcentral lists this ribosomal RNA (253 nucleotides) under uncultured bacterium. RNAcentral describes it as "partial 16S ribosomal RNA". It matches the Rfam family "Bacterial small subunit ribosomal RNA", at positions 524 to 776 of the family's 1533-position model. The record is from RNAcentral.